GACGGGGACCCGCACAAGCAGCGGAGCAUGUGGUUUAAUUCGAAGCAACGCGAAGAACCUUACCAGGGCUUGACAUCCUCUUGAAAGGCUGGGUAAAACCGGCCCCUCUACGGACAAGAGAGACAGGUGGUGCAUGGUUGUCGUCAGCUCGUGUCGUGAGAUGUUGGGUUAAGUCCCGCAACGAGCGCAACCCUUGCCUUUAGUUGCCAGCAGUAAGAUGGGCACUCUAGAGGGACUGCCGGGGACAACUCGGAGGAAGGUGGGGAUGACGUCAAAUCAUCAUGCCCCUUAUGUUCUGGGCUACACACGUGCUACAAUGGCCGGUACAGAGAGAGGCAAGACUGUGAAGUGGAGCAAAACUCUAAAACCGGUCCCAGUUCGGAUUGCAGGCUGCAACUCGCCUGCAUGAAGUCGGAGUUGCUAGUAAUCGCGGAUCAGAACGCCGCGGUGAAUGCGUUCCCGGGUCUUGUACACACCGCCCGUCACACCAUGGAAGUUGGGGGCGCCCGAAGUCGGUCCACGGAUUGCCUAAGGCGAAACCAAUGGCUGGGGUGAAGUAGUAACAAGGUAGGCCGUCGAGAA
Molecule: ribosomal RNA, 582 nt
Filed under: uncultured bacterium
Lineage: Bacteria
Description: bacterial SSU rRNA
Rfam family: Bacterial small subunit ribosomal RNA
Source: RNAcentral